Long non-coding RNA from Gavialis gangeticus (Gharial), 317 nucleotides. RefSeq lists it as uncharacterized. NCBI's taxonomy places the organism in Eukaryota, Metazoa, Chordata, Crocodylia, Gavialidae. The record is from RefSeq and is a predicted model, not a curated record. The transcript has 2 exons.
CCAGUUUACAAGGUAACAAAUAGGGAUUCGUUCCAAGACCUCGACUGCAUCGACAGCAGGAGCAUGUAUUUCCUGCAUAGAUGUCUUUUUCUUGAUCUCUCCUUCCUUCUCUGCAGUCUGAGAAGUGGCAAAAUUCCUACGGAAAUGGAGACAGGGUUUAGAUAAAUGUUAGGUUAUUGUGAAUUGCAUAAGAAAAAUGUUUUUUUUAAAUACAUUUUGUUGUAUGUUUGCUUGUAAAAGAAACGUUUUAUUCAAGUACUCAAGCAUAGCAUUAUUUCUAUUAAUGACUGUGGCUGGGUGGCAGAGAGUUUAUUAAU